RNAcentral lists this long non-coding RNA (841 nucleotides) under Micromonas commoda. RNAcentral describes it as "long non-coding RNA (MCOM_LNC000185)". Lineage: Eukaryota; Viridiplantae; Chlorophyta; Mamiellophyceae; Mamiellales; Mamiellaceae. The record is from RNAcentral.
GAUAUUUUUUAUUCGAAUUUCCGUGUCAGAUCGGACUAUUUGAGUGGUCUAAGGUAUUUGAAAAGGGAAAAAAUUGGACUUCCCAAAGAUCGUCCGCCAAGGCAAAGAUCAGAAGCCUCAGCGCCUGUCUCGGUUACGAGGCGUGCUUCUGGACGCACAGGGACUGCCCGUGUCGCGAGGCGGCUAGGUGAACGCCUGAAAGAGUAAGAGAGAGCAGAGGUCGCCGUCAGGCAACCAACUCUUCGUCCGGAGAAGAUGGGCGAAAAGGCUGCCGAGAACAAGAAAAAGGAUGGAGCCGAUAAGGGAGCCAAGGCGGCCGACAAGAAGGACGAGAAGAAGGAAGUCGAGCUCUCCGAAGAGGAUUUGGCGCUCAAAGAAAAUCUCGAAUUGAUGGUCGUGAGGAGCGCGGACCCCAAAGCCGGUGUUGCAAAGCUGGCGAUGGAGACGAUGAGAAGCGAGAUCAAGUCAGCCACGAGGUGAGUCUCUUUCCACGUCCGCUCGCGUGAUCUGGCGCGCGUGCGCGCAAAGCACGAAGGAUUCUCUGUCUUACCAUAGGAAUCGAUUGAGAUCGCAUGAACUGACAGCAUCCGAUUUUCCUUGUUUAUCGCAGCUCCAUGACGAGCGUUCCGAAGCCGCUCAAGUUCCUUCGUCCCCAUCUGCAAACCCUCAAGGACACCUACGCAAAGCUGAAACCUGGUGAAAACAAGAAACUACUCGCUGACAUCAUCUCCCUGCUCGCCAUGACCGAUGCUCCGAUUGAUGAUGCAAUGCCCGAGUCGCUGAAAUACCGUCUUCUCGGAUCUAACGAAGACAUCGGCACUUGGGGUCAUGAGGUGGGUCC